CUGGGUUUGUUGUUGGGUUUGUUGGGUCAUGGGCGAAUUGCGAUGGUUUCCUUCGCUGUGUGUGUGUCGAUGUGCGCGAUGGGUGAUGGUCCUGAUGGACCUCUCGUGCGCAGUUCCGCUCACGGUUGCGAUUGUUUGUAAUUUUUACUCCUUCCUCUUCGUGCAGCUUUUUUUGCGUUUGUAGGAGUUGUGUGUUUUUUGCGUUAUCGCUUCUGCAAUUGGGUUGCAAUGUCGAAACAUGUUUUAGAUAUUUUCUUAUACGUUUCGUUACCGUUGUAGAUACCAUUGGUUUAUUGUCUUCAAUUCAAACUUUGUUAUUUGUAGUUUGAUUUUAUGCUUUGUUAUUGUUUUAAUUUUACAGCAUUGGAUUUUGAUAGUCGGUUGCUUGUUGUAAACGUUUAAUGAUGGUAAUGGUGUUGUAUAUUAUCAACAUUUUUUUCUUUUUUCUUUUCCUCAUUUUCUUAUUUGUGAUAAAAGUAUAGUUACCCUCAACCAUGUAGUAUAGAAUAAUUAUUCAAUUGAAAUCAGCAUUAGCCAGUCUUGCUUUGCUUCAUGACUAACAUUUAAAACUAUGUUCUACAAUAAUGAAUAAAGAAAUGCAAUGCAAAAAAUGUAGCCAAAAAUCACAAUAACUUACUUUUAUUAAUAUUGCAACAAAAAAAUAAAGGAUACUGCAAUAGUACAUAUACACAUGUUUGAAAUAAUAUGAGAAGAAACAUCGUACACAUAAAUGUGAAAGAGAUAUAUAAACAAAAUAGUACUCGAUAAAAAAAAAAGGGGGGGGGCGGUUGUUGCCAAUAUAUAAUAUGUCCUUAUUAUUAUAUUUAUUUGUAAAGUCACUAAGAAAUGGUUCAAAAUAAGUUAGCUUGAAAAGUUGUACAAACUUUACUUAUUUUUGUUCAGCUGGACAUAUUAUAUAUUGUUUAUGUUAAAACUUUCAUACAAAACAUGCCUACUUUAACAUGUAUAUAUAUAUAUAUAUAUAUAUAUAUAUUUUAUGAUCAUGUCACGAUAUAUUAUUACAAUCUUAAGAUAAAUUCCUUCUACCCAAAUUUUACAAUAAGUUGUGAAAUUCAAAAUACUGAUACAAACUUAAUAAUAAUAUAUAUAUAUAUAUAUAUAUAUAUAUUCACACACACACACAAAGUCAACCCUCAUACUACAUGUAUAU
Molecule: long non-coding RNA, 1171 nt
Filed under: Physcomitrium patens
Lineage: Eukaryota; Viridiplantae; Streptophyta; Bryopsida; Funariales; Funariaceae
Description: long non-coding RNA (PPAT_LNC008808)
Source: RNAcentral